GACGAACGCUGGCGGCGUGCUUAACACAUGCAAGUCAAGGGGGCCAGCAAUGGGCAACCGGCGAACGGGUGCGUAACACGUGAGCAACCUACCGAACUGUGGGGGAUAGCCGGCCUAACGGCCGAGUAAUACCGCAUACGCUCUCAGAGAGGCAUUUCUUUGAGAGGAAACCUACGGGACAGAUCGAGGGGCUCGCGGCCUAUCAGCUAGUUGGCGAGGUAACGGCACCAAGGCUAAGACGGGUAGCUGGUCUGAGAGGACGACCAGCCACACUGGAACUGAGACACGGUCCAGACACCUACGGGUGGCAGCAGUCGAGAAUUUUUCUACAAUGGGCGAAAGCCUGAUGGAGCGACGCCGCGUGGGGA
RNAcentral lists this ribosomal RNA (368 nucleotides) under uncultured bacterium. RNAcentral describes it as "bacterial SSU rRNA". It matches the Rfam family "Bacterial small subunit ribosomal RNA", at positions 28 to 407 of the family's 1533-position model. The record is from RNAcentral.